CCAGGAUCGAACCCACAUCCUCGGGGAUACUGGUUGGGUUCGUUUCUGCUGCGUCACAAUAGGAACUCCAUAUUGCAUGUAGAUUUUAAAGGAGUAGUUCAAGCAUUAGUAUACUAAAAACAAACACUGUUAAAAGCCCUAAUUUUUUUGACCUUGAAUUUUUUGGCUUUCUUUUGUUUAUUUCCUCAUCAUCCAGAAACCUGACAAUAAGCAAGAGAUCUCUCCCCUGCCCCGAGAGGCUUCCCAGCCUGGCUGGACCCUUUUCCUUCAUUGCCUUUGUCACCAGGUGCCAUGCGGCCCUGAGUGAAGCAAGCAAAACUUGUCCAGAGCUUCCAGCAGAAGCCUGCGCUGGAAGGCAGAAUGACUCAGGCAGCUGGCCCUUGCUCAGGGGCGUUUCUUGGUGGCUCUGGGCCUGGGCAGCCUGUGGCCCUGUUGUCUGGGGUGACAAAGUCACAGGUCAGGGCUGCCUCCGUCUCCUUCCACCCACAGUGAACUCAGGCUUUCCUCACUCCCAUCUCCUGCACCAGACUUUUCGGGGAGCUUUUCUUCCCACCAGUCUCUGACUCUUCUACACGCCAGAGCUCUGGGGGCCGGCCAGGCUCCUCUCAGAACCCAGGGCGGGGGCAGCAGGCAGGGCUGAGGCGGGGAGGUUCCCGAGGAGAGCCUCCCAGGCCUGUUCUAUGGAGAAACUGGAUCCGUUCAAUUCUCCUUUUCUUAGCCCUGAGGCUGAACCGUUCUGUGUGUGUGUGUGUGUGUGUGUGUGCACGCGCGCGCAUGCUUGCAUGCUUCUUUUUUCAGGAAAUUGCACUCGUUUCUAAGACUUUUCUCAUUGGGCAAUCACCCUUCCAGCUGGAGCCUGGGCAGCCCCCAGAGUCUAAAUCUCCCAACCAGAAUCAUGACAGACAAGAGGUCCCUGGUCUUCCUCACAAAGCCCGAAGUCACACCGUCUUAUGUUCCUGUCUUCUAGAACUUUCUGUCCAGUCAUAAGCUCCCUUAAGCUUGGCCAGAGGGCAGCCCUCUGGAAGGCAAGGAUCCUUGCAGGGACCUCUUGCCAACCUGGGAUGAUUUUGAAGUGGCUUUAAAAAGAAAUAUGCCUGCAAUAAAAAUGAAAUGCUUUGCCCCCAGAGCUGAGAAUUAUGACCUCCAAAGCUUGGGAGCGGGGUUGCUUUCUUCUCUUUCUUUCCAAAAGACAAGUGGCUUGGACCAGUGAGACUGAGAAAGUCAGAGGUACAGGGAGGACACUGUGCAGAUGGGAAAGCUAUUUUUCCCUCCCCUGCCUAAUUAAGUUCUAAAGAGCAAAGACAUCCUUCCAGCUUUUGCACUCGUUCAUCCCCUUCCUGCUCAGGCUGGACGCAGGACACAUGAUUUCUUUUGGCUCCACCAUCACAGUGGGAAAAUGCACUUUCCCUUUCCUUGUACAGUUGGGGAGGUGUGUGAGAGGGUGAGAGACAAGAGGCAGUGUGUGUGUGUGUUUGUGUGUGCGUGUGCGUGUCCCUCCUGGUGUCUGGUCACUAUGUGGUCUAGCGCUGCACCUCCUGUGCAGCCAGAGUGGAGGUGAAUGGACAGGAUGCCUUUGUACUGUGUGUGUAGUUUGUGUGUGUGCAUGUGGAGUGGAAGCGUAGCCUCUGUGUGACACGUGUGUAUGCCUGUGAUGGUGUGUGACAAAACGUGAAAGGUUCAGAGAAAUGGGUUCUAGAGUAGGGUUUCUCUGGGAACCUGAUUUGUAGAAAUGCUGUGUGUGGUGUUUGUCUGCCCUACAACCAACACCCGUACCAAGAAAGUUUAACUUUGCAGCAAAACAAAGACAUGGAUAGAGAAUGAUGAAGAGAAGAAAGAGGGUGGAGAAGAAAUGAGGAAGAAUUAAUUUGAGUUCCUUUGAAAGGAGAGAUGUUUGGUGGGUGGAAGGAAAAGAUAGAGACUAGAUCAAUAACAAGAAAUAACAAAUGAGGAAGAAUUAAUUUGAGUUCCUUUGAAAGGGGAGACGUUUGGUGGGUGGAAGGAAGGAAGGAAAAGAUAGAGACUAGAUCAGUAACAAGGUUGGACGGAGCAGGAGACUGGCUGGAGGCAGGAGUCUUCCUCCCCAUCUCCCAC
Long non-coding RNA from Sus scrofa (pig), 2091 nucleotides. RefSeq lists it as uncharacterized. The record is from RefSeq and is a predicted model, not a curated record. Lineage: Eukaryota; Metazoa; Chordata; Mammalia; Artiodactyla; Suidae.